RNAcentral lists this ribosomal RNA (490 nucleotides) under uncultured bacterium. Its description in RNAcentral is "partial 16S ribosomal RNA". It matches the Rfam family "Bacterial small subunit ribosomal RNA", at positions 29 to 507 of the family's 1533-position model. The record is from RNAcentral.
AUGAACGCUGGCUACAGGCUUAACACCUGCCAGUCGAGGGGAAACGACGGGGAAGCUUGCUUCCCCGGGCGUCGACCGGCGCACGGGUGAGUAACGCGUAUCCAACCUGCCUCUGACUGAGGGAUAACCCGUCGAAAGUCGGCCUAAUACCUCAUGGUAUCGUCUGCGGGCAUCCAACGACGAUUAAAGAUUUCAUCGGUCAGGGAUGGGGAUGCGUCUGAUUAGCUUGUUGGCGGGGUAACGGCCCACCAAGGCUACGAUCAGUAGGGGUUCUGAGAGGAAGGUCCCCCACAUUGGAACUGAGACACGGUCCAAACUCCUACGGGAGGCAGCAGUGAGGAAUAUUGGUCAAUGGGCGAGAGCCUGAACCAGCCAAGUAGCGUGCAGGAAGACGGCCCUAUGGGUUGUAAACUGCUUUUAUGCGGGGAUAAAGUGAGGGACGUGUCCCUCAUUGCAGGUACCGCAUGAAUAAGGACCGGCUAAUUCCGUG